Molecule: ribosomal RNA, 497 nt
Filed under: uncultured bacterium
Lineage: Bacteria
Description: partial 16S ribosomal RNA
Rfam family: Bacterial small subunit ribosomal RNA
Source: RNAcentral
GAUGAACGCUGGCGGCGUGCCUAAUACAUGCAAGUCGAGCGAACGGACGAGAAGCUUGCUUCUCUGAUGUUAGCGGCGGACGGGUGAGUAACACGUGGAUAACCUACCUAUAAGACUGGGAUAACUUCGGGAAACCGGAGCUAAUACCGGAUAAUAUUUUGAACCGCAUGGUUCAAAAGUGAAAGACGGUCUUGCUGUCACUUAUAGAUGGAUCCGCGCUGCAUUAGCUGGUUGGUAAGGUAACGGCUUACCAAGGCAACGAUGCAUAGACGAAGUGUGAGAGUGGUCGCCCACCUUGGAACUGAGACACGGUCCAGGCUCCUAAGGGAGGCAGCAGUAGGGAAUCGGCGGCAGCGGGCGAGAGCAUGACGGAGCAGCGCGGCGUGAGUGAUAACGGUCUCCGGAUCGUAAAAAUCUGUUAUUAGGGAAGAACAUAUGUGUAAGGAAAUGUACACAUCUUGACGGUACCGAAUCAGAAAGCAACGGCUAACUACGUG